This 508-nucleotide ribosomal RNA is filed under the name uncultured bacterium. RNAcentral describes it as "bacterial SSU rRNA". It matches the Rfam family "Bacterial small subunit ribosomal RNA", at positions 28 to 496 of the family's 1533-position model. The record is from RNAcentral.
GACGAACGCUGGCGGCGUGCCUAAUACAUGCAAGUCGAACGCACUCUCGUUUAGAUUGAAGGAGCUUGCUCCUGAUUGAUAAACAUUUGAGUGAGUGGCGGACGGGUGAGUAACACGUGGGUAACCUGCCCUAAAGUGGGGGAUAACAUUUGGAAACAGAUGCUAAUACCGCAUAAAACCUAACACCGCAUGGUGUAGGGUUGAAAGAUGGUUUCGGCUAUCACUUUAGGAUGGACCCGCGGUGCAUUAGUUAGUUGGUGAGGUAAAGGCUCACCAAGACCGUGAUGCAUAGCCGACCUGAGAGGGUAAUCGGCCACACUGGGACUGAGACACGGCCCAGACUCCUACGGGAGGCAGCAGUAGGGAAUCUUCCACAAUGGACGAAAGUCUGAUGGAGCAACGCCGCGUGAGUGAAGAAGGUUUCGGAUCGUAAAACUCUGUUGUUGGAGAAGAAUGUAUCUGAUAGUAACUGAUCAGGUAGUGACGGUAUCCAACCAGAAAGCCACGG